UACGUAGGGUGCAAGCGUUAAUCGGAAUUACUGGGCGUAAAGGGCUCGUAGGCGGCCAACUAAGUCGGAUGUGAAAUCCCCAGGCUCAACCUGGGAACUGCAUCCGAUACUGGAUGGCUUGAAUUCGGGAGAGGGAUGCAGAAUUCCAGGUGUAGCGGUGAAAUGCGUAGAUAUCUGGAGGAAUACCGGUGGCGAAGGCGGCAUCCUGGACCGACAUUGACGCUGAGGAGCGAAAGCUAGGGGAGCAAACGGG
RNAcentral lists this ribosomal RNA (253 nucleotides) under uncultured bacterium. RNAcentral's name for it is "partial 16S ribosomal RNA". It matches the Rfam family "Bacterial small subunit ribosomal RNA", at positions 524 to 776 of the family's 1533-position model. The record is from RNAcentral.